Molecule: non-coding RNA, 753 nt
Filed under: Monistria discrepans
Lineage: Eukaryota; Metazoa; Arthropoda; Insecta; Orthoptera; Pyrgomorphidae
Source: RNAcentral
UGUUUGAUUUGUAAAAGUUUUAUUCUUGCUUAAAUAUUCAUUGUUUCUUUAUAUUAUAUACAAGUUUAGAAUACUAAAUGUUUCGUUUUGUAGUGAUUUAAUUUAAUUAUCAAGGUAAUUUGGAAUUAGUAAUUGAUUAAUGUUUUGGCUUAAUUUGUGCCAGCAGCCGCGGUUAUACAAUUAAUGCAAGUGAAUAUUUUUGACUUAAACAGUUAAUAUUAUUUUUGAUUGAAUUUAUAUGUAUAUUUAUUGGGUGAAAUUUUUUAUUUAUUAAUUGUUCUUAUUUGAUUCUGUGAAAAUUGAAUUAUAAACUAGGAUUAGAUACCCUAUUAUUUCAAUUGUAAAUUUCUUGUCAGGUUAUUAAUAGUUAAGAUCUUUAAAUUCAAAGAAUUUGGCGGUAUCUUAUUCUAUUUAGAGGAACCUGCUUCAUAAUUGAUAAUACACGAUUUAAAAUACUUAAUUUAUUGUUUGUAUAUCUCCGUUAUCAGAAAGUCUUUUUAGGGUUUGUUAAUUUUCGUGUUUUUUAAUAAAAGAUUAUUUCAGGUCAAGGUGCAGCUUAUAAUUAAGGGAAAGUGGGUUACAAUAAAUUGUUUUUUAUUACGGUUUAAUUAAUGUAAAUUUUUAAUUAAGGUGGAUUUAAUAGUAAUUUAAUUAUAUUUAUUUUAUUUGAUAUUAGCUCUAAGAUAUGUACACAUCGCCCGUCGCUCUCAUUAUUAAGAUUUAUUUAAAUUUAAUUAAUUUAGAUGAGAUAAG